GGGAUAUAAGAAACCGUCUUUUAAUUUAACUAAAAAAACUAGAAACCGGUUCUUAAAUAAGAGUUUUAAGAAUCGAUUCUUAGUUUUUUUGGUUAAAAGUUAAGAGACGGUUUUUUAUAUUCC
Molecule: non-coding RNA, 123 nt
Organism: Brassica napus (rape)
Lineage: Eukaryota; Viridiplantae; Streptophyta; Magnoliopsida; Brassicales; Brassicaceae
Source: Rfam